CAGCCGUAAACGAUGCACGUUAGGUGUAUCGAUGACCACGAGUCAUCGAGGUGCCGAAGGGAAACCGUGAAACGUGCCGCCUGGGAAGUAUGGUCGCAAGGCUGAAACUUAAAGGAAUUGGCGGGGGAGCACCACAACAGGUGGAGCCUGCGGUUUAAUCGGACUCAACGCCGGAAAUCUCACCGGAUAAGACAGCUGAAUGAUAGUCGGGCUGAAGACUCUACUUGACUAGCUGAGAGGAGGUGCAUGGCGUAGACGUCU
RNAcentral lists this ribosomal RNA (261 nucleotides) under uncultured archaeon. Its description in RNAcentral is "partial 16S ribosomal RNA". It matches the Rfam family "Archaeal small subunit ribosomal RNA", at positions 748 to 1009 of the family's 1478-position model. The record is from RNAcentral.